GCCGGGUGUGGUGGCUCACACCUGUAAUCCCAGCACUUUGGGAGGCCGAGGCAGGCGGAUCACCUGAGGUCAGGAGUUCAAGACCAGCCUGGCCAACAUGGUGAAACCCUGUCUCUA
RNAcentral lists this signal recognition particle RNA (117 nucleotides) under Nomascus leucogenys (northern white-cheeked gibbon). RNAcentral's name for it is "Metazoan signal recognition particle RNA". It matches the Rfam family "Metazoan signal recognition particle RNA". Rfam says of the family: The signal recognition particle (SRP) is a universally conserved ribonucleoprotein. It is involved in the co-translational targeting of proteins to membranes. The record is from Rfam by way of RNAcentral. Lineage: Eukaryota; Metazoa; Chordata; Mammalia; Primates; Hylobatidae.